UGCUGACGAGUGGCGAACGGGUGAGUAAUACAUCGGAACGUGCCUAGUAGUGGGGGAUAACUACUCGAAAGAGUGGCUAAUACCGCAUGAGAUCUACGGAUGAAAGCAGGGGAUCGCAAGACCUUGUGCUACUAGAGCGGCCGAUGGCAGAUUAGGUAGUUGGUGGGAUAAAAGCUUACCAAGCCGACGAUCUGUAGCUGGUCUGAGAGGACGAUCAGCCACACUGGGACUGAGACACGGCCCAGACUCCUACGGGAGGCAGCAGUGGGGAAUUUUGGACAAUGGGCGCAAGCCUGAUCCAGCAAUGCCGCGUGCAGGAUGAAGGCCUUCGGGUUGUAAACUGCUUUUGUACGGAACGAAAAGCCCUGGGUUAAUACCCUGGGGUCAUGACGGUACCGUAAGAAUAAGCACCGGCUAACUACGUGCCAGCAGCCGCGGUAAUACGUAGGGUGCGAGCGUUAAUCGGAAUUACUGGGCGUAAAGGGUGCGCAGGCGGUUUUGUAAGCACAGAGGUGAAAUCCCCGGGCUCAACCUGGGAACUGCCUUUGUGACUGCAAGGCUAGAGUACGGCAGAGGGGAAUGGAAUUCCGCGUGUAGCAGUGAAAUGCGUAGAUAUGCGGAGGAACACCGAUGGCGAAGGCAAUCCCCUGGGCCUGUACUGACGCUCAUGCACGAAAAGCGU
Molecule: ribosomal RNA, 682 nt
Filed under: Comamonas aquatica
Lineage: Bacteria; Pseudomonadati; Pseudomonadota; Betaproteobacteria; Burkholderiales; Comamonadaceae
Description: bacterial SSU rRNA
Rfam family: Bacterial small subunit ribosomal RNA
Source: RNAcentral